RNAcentral lists this ribosomal RNA (292 nucleotides) under uncultured bacterium. Its description in RNAcentral is "partial 16S ribosomal RNA". It matches the Rfam family "Bacterial small subunit ribosomal RNA", at positions 505 to 796 of the family's 1533-position model. The record is from RNAcentral.
GUGCCAGCAGCCGCGGUAAUACGGAGGGUGCAAGCGUUAUCCGGAUUUACUGGGUUUAAAGGGUGCGUAGGCGGGCCUUUAAGUCAGUGGUGAAAUCUCCCCGCUCAACGGGGAAACUGCCAUUGAUACUAUUGGUCUUGAAUUUAGUUGAGGUGGGCGGAAUGUGUCGUGUAGCGGUGAAAUGCUUAGAUAUGACACAGAACACCGAUUGCGAAGGCAGCUCGCUAAACUAAUAUUGACGCUGAGGCACGAAAGCGUGGGGAUCAAACAGGAUUAGAAACCCCUGUAGUCC